This 252-nucleotide ribosomal RNA is filed under the name uncultured Bacteroidales bacterium. Its description in RNAcentral is "partial 16S ribosomal RNA". It matches the Rfam family "Bacterial small subunit ribosomal RNA", at positions 524 to 776 of the family's 1533-position model. The record is from RNAcentral. Lineage: Bacteria; Pseudomonadati; Bacteroidota; Bacteroidia; Bacteroidales.
UACGGAGGAUCCGAGCGUUAUCCGGAUUUAUUGGGUUUAAAGGGUGCGUAGGCGGACUGUUAAGUCAGCGGUAAAAGCCCGGGGCUCAACCCCGGCGAGCCGUUGAAACUGUGUCCCUUGAGUGCGCGAAGGGUAGGCGGAAUGCGUGGUGUAGCGGUGAGAUGCAUAGAUAUCACGCAGAACUCCGAUCGCGAAGGCAGCCUACCGGCGCGCUACUGACGCUCAUGCACGAAAGCGUGGGUAUCGAACAGG